This 1650-nucleotide long non-coding RNA is filed under the name Pomacea canaliculata. RNAcentral's name for it is "uncharacterized LOC112569993". The record is from RNAcentral. Lineage: Eukaryota; Metazoa; Mollusca; Gastropoda; Architaenioglossa; Ampullariidae.
ACAGAUAAUAUAGAUUAGUGAAAUAGGAAAAAGAAAGUCUGGAGCUUAGAGCUAGGAUAUGAGACAAUGCCACCCCUCUACUUCAUUUUCUGAGCUGUCUAUACCCAUCCAGUGAAAAACUGUCCAUGCUGUAUUUUAAUUUUUUUGCUGGCACCUGCCCUGAUUAUUUCACUGAAAUGCUCUUCCAUUACGUCCCAGCUAGACAACUCCUCGUCUGAUGAUCGUCUACUCUUCCUGUCACCAAAACAACAGAUGGUCACAGACUACUUAGUUAUUGUGCAGCGGAACAAUGGAACUCUCUCCCUUUCCUUAUCCACCACCUACACACUAUUGAAUCCUUUAAACGUGAACUGAAAACGCACUUCUUCGAUCCACAAACAUUACUCCUAACAACCUUUCCCAUAAUGCUAGUCCUUUUUCACGCCCUUCCUUUCGCAAUAUCAUGUUACCCUCAGCUCUUGUUCUUGUUAUUUGGUUCAUCUUUGUGUUUUCUGUACUUUAGUUUAUUCUUCAUUAGUACAGAUGUUUAUUCUUUUAUAGUUCAUAUGUUGUUUGUCUUCCUGUCCCUCGUAUUCUGUCCAUGUUUCGUUCUUGUUCUUAAGUGCUAAGCUAGCAUAUAUUCCUUAGGGAGUGUGAGUAUUCGCUUUACAAAUUUUGCAUUUUUAUUGAUUACUAUUAUUAUUUUGAGGUAAUUUUUUAACAUCAGUAAAAAUACCUGGAAUUAGAUGUAAGGGUAAUAAAGGUACAAACUAAUGCCAGGCAAACUUCUUCUGACUGUGUGUCCAUGUCUGUCGCUACAAAAUUCUUUCUAGUGCUUAGUGUACAUAUUUAGGGGGGGGGGGAAGCGUUAUAGUUAAUGCAGAUGCCAAAACCCUAUUUCCAACUUUAAUUAAUUCUACCCCAUUUGCUUUCAACAUACAGUGGAAAAACAAAUUAAGAAAAAAAAAAAAAACAGAAGUAAGAUGAAAAGAAAAUGAGAUGGAGAAACUAUGACAAGUUUAUGAAUGAGUUAAGGUAGAAUAGAGGAAGUGCUCGCUUCAAACCUUCCUUGGCUUAAUCUGAAAUGGGGAAGAUUUCAGUUGCUUAGUUUGUUCUGAUCCCCUCCUAAGCACAUCAAUCAUGGGGCUGACGCUGAUGUAUUUGGGUUAGGAAUAGCAUUCUUUUUUUCUUUCAAUCACAUCAAAGGGUUUCUACUGUUUCUCCAGCCUUCGAGUAAUUUGCCGAUUAUCUCUCGUGGAUCAUUUAGCGUCAACACGGCGCCCUACAGAUUCGAUUGGAUUGCUCGUUCUUCACAAGUACUCUCUGGCGGGAAAGUUUGAUAAAUGGAUAACCUUCGACACAAGCAGGCUUAACUAGUUAUGGAACAGACGACCAUUGUUAAGGUAGCGCCCUCAAAGCCGUCCUGGCAUAGGCAAGUGAAGCUGUCUCCACUAUUGACACAGGUACCUUGAUUGCCGCAAGGGUUGCUGUCGCACGCAUGGACCGACGCUACACAGCAGACAGGAGAUUCAAAACCCGGGCUGACACUCGCAGAAGUAGUCACCGAUGAGGUUGCGGCAGGCAUAGGCGUUGGCGCAGGGGCUGCCACUGCACUCGUCCGCAUCCAGCUGACAAUGGGGGCCUUGCCAGCCAGGUGGACACACGCAUUCG